GGACCUGCUCAGAGAAGAGGCAGCCAGUGUCUCCUGUCUCAUCCACCCUAAGAAUGGUCCGCAAGGCAAUGCAGCAAACAAGGAAGUAUGAAUAAACUUGCCAAUUCAUGAACACUUUCAAGAAGAGUGAAUACUCCAUCCGGUCAUGAGCUUAACAUCUUCAUGUUCAGGAGGUAGGAAUUAUGAAUAAACUUUCCAAUCCAUGAACACUAUCAAGAACAGUGAGCACUCCAGCCAGUAAUGAGCUUAACGACUUCAUGUUCAGGAGAACAAGAUAAUUAAACUGCACCUUCACGGAAAUGGAUCCUGGAGAGCAUUUAUCAAACACAGGGAUCGUUUACACUUGAGAAGAACUACUGAACAGCACGUGCCAGAGAUUGAGGUCCAGGUCAAACGUAGAAGGACAGCCUCACUGAGCAACCAAGAGUGUCACUUGUACCCAAGGCGUUCUCAGCAACAGCAAAUUCCUGUGGUGGAUUUCCAGGCAGAACUGAGACAGGCGUUCUUAGCUGAGACACCAAGAGGUGGUUAAAGCAGUAUUGGAACUGUGGGGUGGUGGAAGUCAACAAAAACAGG
Molecule: long non-coding RNA, 576 nt
Filed under: Rattus norvegicus (Norway rat)
Lineage: Eukaryota; Metazoa; Chordata; Mammalia; Rodentia; Muridae
Description: long non-coding RNA NONRATT003136
Source: RNAcentral